RNAcentral lists this ribosomal RNA (254 nucleotides) under uncultured bacterium. RNAcentral describes it as "partial 16S ribosomal RNA". It matches the Rfam family "Bacterial small subunit ribosomal RNA", at positions 524 to 776 of the family's 1533-position model. The record is from RNAcentral.
UACGUAGGGUGCGAGCGUUGUCCGGAAUUAUUGGGCGUAAAGAGCUCGUAGGCGGUCUGUCGCGUCGGUCGUGAAAACUUGGGGCUUAACCCUGAGCUUGCGGUCGAUACGGGCAUGACUGGAGUUCGGCAGGGGAGACUGGAAUUCCUGGUGUAGCGGUGAAAUGCGCAGAUAUCAGGAGGAACACCGGUGGCGAAGGCGGGUCUCUGGGCCGAUACUGACGCUGAGGAGCGAAAGCGUGGGGAGCAAACAGG